GGGGCCUUCGGCUAAUGGGUGAGGACCGUUGGCAGGGGGCGGGCCUUGACGGUGAGAGGACCCGGCCUGGGAGCGAGAAGUCCUGGGUGGGUGAGAGCAGGGGUCUCGCCAGGGGCGUACUAGCCAAGUGGGGGGCGGGGCCGUGGGCUGAGUCCUGGGCCUCUUACCGAGGGGCGAGGCGUUGGAUCUCGGAGGAGAGGGGGCGGCCCUGUGGAAGCGGAACCCGGGAGCCCGGCUUCGGGGAGGGUAGAAGGGCCUACGAGAGAAGGGGUUGAGGGGGGGGCUGCAAGGCGGAAGCAGCGCGGUCGGACGGACAAGGCCCAAGCACGCGAAGGGCGGGGCCCGAGGGGAAUGGGACCAAUGAGUCUUUGAGGAUGAAGGGCAAGGCGGGCGGGUCCGGAGUGGAGCCCUGCGAGGAAUGUGGAGCCGGGAGCCUGUGAGCGUGAGCGUGAGCGUCCUCACUAGCUUGUGCAGAAGUCAGCUAGAAGUGC
RNAcentral lists this long non-coding RNA (491 nucleotides) under Pan troglodytes (chimpanzee). RNAcentral's name for it is "long non-coding RNA NONPTRT011927". The record is from RNAcentral. Lineage: Eukaryota; Metazoa; Chordata; Mammalia; Primates; Hominidae.